UACGUAGGGUGCAAGCGUUAAUCGGAAUUACUGGGCGUAAAGCGUGCGCAGGCGGUUAUGUAAGACAGUUGUGAAAUCCCCGGGCUCAACCUGGGAACUGCAUCUGUGACUGCAUAGCUAGAGUACGGUAGAGGGGGAUGGAAUUCCGCGUGUAGCAGUGAAAUGCGUAGAUAUGCGGAGGAACACCGAUGGCGAAGGCAAUCCCCUGGACCUGGUACUGACGCUCAUGCACGAAAGCGUGGGGAGCAAACAGG
RNAcentral lists this ribosomal RNA (254 nucleotides) under uncultured bacterium. RNAcentral describes it as "partial 16S ribosomal RNA". It matches the Rfam family "Bacterial small subunit ribosomal RNA", at positions 524 to 776 of the family's 1533-position model. The record is from RNAcentral.